Molecule: small nucleolar RNA, 104 nt
Filed under: Propithecus coquereli (Coquerel's sifaka)
Lineage: Eukaryota; Metazoa; Chordata; Mammalia; Primates; Indriidae
Description: Small nucleolar RNA U13 (ENSPCOG00000005042.1)
Rfam family: Small nucleolar RNA U13
Source: Rfam by way of RNAcentral
AUCCUUUUGUAGUUCAUAGGCGUGAUGAUUGGGUUUUCACGUGCAUGAGUGAGAUGUGCCUCCCUCAAACCUUGUUACGACGUCGGCACAUUACCCAACUGAUG